CAACCAUACAAUUAAUUUUCUCCUCUCUCUUCUUUUACCAUUCUCUCUCCUCUUUUUGGGGUAAUCCUAAUCAUCUCCUUAUUUUUUCUCUCUUUUCUCUCUUCUUUCACUUGAGGAUUUGAAUCUCAUUACCAAAAAAAUCUAUAUCUUUUCUCCUCUUUCAACACAAAUAUUUGUCAUCACCUCCUUUUGAUGUUUUGAUCCCUUUGCUUUUGAAAUGACAGAAAAACAUAAAAGGCUAGAAUAAAGAUGGGUUCAAAGGAAUAAGCUGCUUGCAGAUGGAACCACUACAUAUGUGGGAGGUAUACAGGUGAUGCGAAAAAAAUAAGUAAAGUAAGCUAAAAAGAGAUAAAAAAGGGAAGAGAAGUGUAAAAGAUGGAAAAGCAGGAGAAAGAUCUGACCUCAGUUACCACAAUCAAGGUUUGUGGGCCGCGACCACGGCCAAUCCAGAUUAGUCAGAGCCAGUGAUUGUGAAGGACACAUUGCAAUCGCAGAAGUCACGAUUGCAAUCGCAGAAGUCACGAUUGCAAUCAAGAUAGGGUGAUCACAGCAACACGGGUUUAUACUGUGGGAAAAUUUGUAAUUUCAUAGAACUGGCCCCAAUUCCCAUAGAGAGUAAAAACCCAUUCAAUUUUAGGCAUCAUUCCAAAUAGAAUUGAACUUGGAGAAAUUUAAAACCUUACCAAAUUAGAAAACUUAUUGUGGCUAACUUCUCAAGUAGUUUUGGUUGUAAUUGAAGUUAGACAUUGAAGAAUACUCUUUUUUGUAUCUUCAAUGAAAGCAUUGAAUGAUUAUUUUGGUAUAAUUCUUUUCCCUAA
Molecule: long non-coding RNA, 818 nt
Organism: Capsicum annuum
Lineage: Eukaryota; Viridiplantae; Streptophyta; Magnoliopsida; Solanales; Solanaceae
Exons: 3
Source: RefSeq, a predicted model, not a curated record